CAGGGAUUGCCCCCAGUAACGGCGAGUGAAGCGGCAACAGCUCAAAUUUGAAAUCUGGCCUGCGGCCCGAGUUGUAAUUUGCAGAGGAUGCUUUUGGCGAGGCGCCUUCCGAGUUCCCUGGAACGGGACGCCAGAGAGGGUGAGAGCCCCGUAUGGUCGCGCGCCGAGCCUCUGUAAAGCUCCUUCGACGAGUCGAGUAGUUUGGGAAUGCUGCUCAAAAUGGGAGGUAUAUGUCUUCUAAAGCUAAAUAUUGGCCAGAGACCGAUAGCGCACAAGUAGAGUGAUCGAAAGAUGAAAAGCACUUUGAAAAGAGGGUUAAACAGUACGUGAAAUUGUUGAAAGGGAAGCGUUUGCGACCAGACUUGAGCCUGGCGAAUCAUCCGGCGUUCUCGCCGGUGCACUUCGCCAGGCACAGGCCAGCAUCAGUUUCCCGCGGGGGACAAAGGCGCCGGGAACGUGGCUCCUCGGAGUGUUAUAGCCCGGCGCGCAAUACCCUGCGGGGGACUGAGGUACGCGCACCGCAAGGAUGCUGGCGUAAUGGUCGUCAACGACCCGUCUUGAAACACGGACCAAGGAGUCGUCUUCGUAUGCGAGUGUUCGGGUGUAAAACCCCUACGCGUAAUGAAAGUGAACGCAGGUGAGAGCUUCGGCGCAUCAUCGACCGAUCCUGAUGUUCUCGGAUGGAUUUGAGUAAGAGCAUACGGGGCCGGACCCGAAAGAAGGUGAACUAUGCCUGUAUAGGGUGAAGCCAGAGGAAACUCUGGUGGAGGCUCGCAGCGGUUCUGACGUGCAAAUCGAUCGUCAAAUAUGGGCAUGGGGGCGAAAGG
This 827-nucleotide ribosomal RNA is filed under the name Cocoonihabitus sinensis. RNAcentral describes it as "LSU rRNA". It matches the Rfam family "Eukaryotic large subunit ribosomal RNA", at positions 69 to 930 of the family's 3401-position model. Lineage: Eukaryota; Fungi; Ascomycota; Sordariomycetes; Hypocreales. The record is from RNAcentral.